This 1216-nucleotide long non-coding RNA is filed under the name Mytilus galloprovincialis (Mediterranean mussel). Lineage: Eukaryota; Metazoa; Mollusca; Bivalvia; Mytilida; Mytilidae. The record is from RNAcentral.
GGACUUUUGGAUUAACUUAAAAUUUAUAAUUUUAGCUUGUUACCAAAUGAAAGGAAAGUGCAGUAUUAGAAUCACUGAGGUACAUGUUACGGUGUACAUGUACAUGUACAUGUAGGUGCAGAUGUCCUGUAAAAAAAAAACUGGUAUCAAAGUAAGUUCAUAUGUAGAAUUGUAUUUGAUUUAAAUAAUUUAAUGUUAUCUAUUCAAAACUUUUUCAAGUGUAAUUGUACAUGUAUACAGUUGUUUAUUUUUCUGUCAUUUUGAUGUCAAGUAUGCAUCGAGGAAUCCUUACCAGUCUCAUCUGCUUCUGCUGCACACGCAUGAGAAAUGAGAAGCUCAAAUAAUUAUAGCAUUUGCAUCACAGACCGUAUAUUAUGAAUUGUAUAUUUAACAUGAUCAAAAGUUGUUCUUGUCUUGAAUAUAUACAUUAAAUAUUUGCCACUGUACCUUAAAAUAAACAAGAAAAAUUAAUUUGAUAAUUUUCUUUUAACCGUAGAGCGUUUUUAAAGAACUAGAAUAUUGAUAUAAGGAGAUGGCGUAUGAUCCUCAAUGUGACAACUAUCAAUUAAAAAACUAAAGAACGAAGAUAAAACAUUUACUGGUCACUGUUCAGCAAUGAACAAUAAUCAAAAUCCAUACCAUAAAGUAACCUUCAACUUGUUUAAGAAUGCAAAAUGUGAACCAUUGAAAAAUUAAAACUACAUAUUGUAUGGCAGACAUUAAUUAAUAUGUUUAUAGAAUGAUUGUAAGGUGUUUAUAUUUGUCUUGCAGGUGCAAUUCUUGCCAGAUUUUUAUAAAACUUAUACUAUACUUUAAUAUCAGCAAUAUCUUGGUCAAGUUCACUACUUUUGACCGAUUGACUAUUUUCAAAAGAGUUAUGCCCCUUGAAAAUAUUAAAUAAAGGAAAAUGGCCUUGUAAGCGCUCUCAUCGGUUCAAUUUUUUAUAAAACACAUAGUAUACUGUAAGUAAUGCCCUUGAAGGUCUGUUUGAAAUAUUUCGUAUACAAGAAAAAGAAGUUUUUUUCCAAGCACACUUUUUUAUUUAUAAUUUUAUUCAAGUGCCUUUUUUUAAUUAUUGCCCCUUGCUAAAUAAAAUAUGUGCAACUCAGUGGACAUUGAAACUCUGUUCUGUUAUUUUUUAUUUUCAGGAACUGAAAAGUAAAGAAACAGAACCAAAGAACAUUCAUUUUAAAUUAAUACAAUAUUGAACUCAAAA